GGGGAAUCUUGCGCAAUGGCCGAAAGGCUGACGCAGCGACGCCGCGUGGGGGAUGAAGGUUUUCGGAUCGUAAACCCCUGUUGCCCGGGACGAACAGCCCUUUCGAGGGACUUGACGGUACCGGGUGAGGAAGCACCGGCUAACUCUGUGCCAGCAGCCGCGGUAAUACAGAGGGUGCGAGCGUUGUCCGGAAUCACUGGGCGUAAAGGGCGCGUAGGCGGUUUGGCAAGUCUAUGGUGAAAGCUCGCCGCUCAACGGCGAGUCGGCCACGGAUACUGCUGAACUGGAGCACUGUAGAGGCAGGUGGAAUUCCGGGUGUAGCGGUGGAAUGCGUAGAGAUCCGGAAGAACACCGGUGGCGAAGGCGGCCUGCUGGGCAGUAGCUGACGCUGAGGCGCGACAGCGUGGGGAGCAAAC
This 416-nucleotide ribosomal RNA is filed under the name uncultured bacterium. Its description in RNAcentral is "bacterial SSU rRNA". It matches the Rfam family "Bacterial small subunit ribosomal RNA", at positions 356 to 773 of the family's 1533-position model. The record is from RNAcentral.